GACGAACGCUGGCGGCGUGCUUAACACAUGCAAGUCGAGCGGAAAGGCCCGCUUGUGGGUACUCGAGCGGCGAACGGGUGAGUAACACGUGAGUAAUCUGCCCUCCACUCUGGGAUAACGUUCAGAAAUGGGUGCUAAUACCGGAUGUACACAUUGUUUCGCAUGGGAUGGUGUGGAAAGGUUUUUUCUGGUGGGGGAUGUGCUCGCGGCCUAUCAGCUUGUUGGUGGGGUAAUGGCCUACCAAGGCUUUGACGGGUAGCCGGCCUGAGAGGGUGACCGGCCACACUGGGACUGAGACACGGCCCAGACUCCUACGGGAGGCAGCAGUGGGGAAUAUUGGACAAUGGGCGGAAGCCUGAUCCAGCAACGCCGCGUGAGGGAUGACGGCCUUCGGGUCGUAAACCUCUUUCACCAUUGACGAAGUCGCAUGCUUUUGUGUGUGGUGACGGUAGGUGGGGAAGAAGCACCGGCCAACUACGUGCCAGCAGCCGCGGUAAUACGUAGGGUGCGAGCGUUGUCCGGAAUUAUUGGGCGUAAAGGGCUCGUAGGCGGUUUGUCGCGUCGGGAGUGAAAUCAUCUGGCUUAACUGGGUGCUUGCUUUCGAUACGGGCAGACUAGAGGUAUGCAGGGGAGAACGGAAUUCCGGGUGUAGCGGUGAAAUGCGCAGAUAUCAGGAGGAACACCGGUGGCGAAGGCGGUUCUCUGGGCAUGAUCUGACGCUGA
RNAcentral lists this ribosomal RNA (723 nucleotides) under uncultured Actinomycetes bacterium. Its description in RNAcentral is "bacterial SSU rRNA". It matches the Rfam family "Bacterial small subunit ribosomal RNA", at positions 28 to 749 of the family's 1533-position model. The record is from RNAcentral. Lineage: Bacteria; Bacillati; Actinomycetota; Actinomycetes.